Molecule: long non-coding RNA, 550 nt
Organism: Humulus lupulus (European hop)
Lineage: Eukaryota; Viridiplantae; Streptophyta; Magnoliopsida; Rosales; Cannabaceae
Exons: 2
Source: RefSeq, a predicted model, not a curated record
UACUUUUGACAGAGACAGCAAGUAAAAUAUGGCUUUUUAUCAUCACUCUUUUUCAUUUCAUGAGAAGCAUGCAAUGUGUGGUCUGAUAUUGAAAGUCUUUUAUCUUCCAAUAUCUUCCAAUAUUGAGCUUGAGCUAGAGCCUUUUUGUUACAUAUAUGCAUACACAUAAAUACAUAUAUAUAUAUAUAGAGAGAGAGAGUUAGACAGACUUCAGACCAGAGAAUAUAUAUAUAAAUUAUGCAAGAGUUUGAGAGGCAGAAUGAGAAGAUGGAGUUAGUAUUUGAAGUGAUGGCUGAUGCAAUCGAUGAUGCUUUGGAAGGAGAUGAGGAAGAGGAGGAAACAGAUGAAUUACUAAACCAGGGUUGGUCAGGCAGUGGCGUCUUUACUGAGGAGGAUUGGAUUACAUUACUAAAGAAAUGAAUUACAUGGAAAAAUCAGAAUUAGUGGAAUAAUAUUAAAAGGAUGGUUUCAACAUAAGCUUGCUCCUGUUUUGUAUGCUUGUCGUUUCUAUCAAUUAACAUUCAAUAAUAACUCCCAAUGAGUUCUAUUU